GAAUAGAACCAUAGGAUAUCAAAUCAGAAAGGACACGCAACAACCAUCGAGUCCAACUCCUGGAUCCAUAAAGUACUACUAAAAAAUUACACCUUUAGGAAGGCUGGGGGAUAUCUUAGUCCUCUGUCACAGUAUCAUGAAUGUCUCCACGAGAAAGCUGUUUAAUCCUUACAGGAAAGAAUUGCUCUGAAGGCAGAGUGAACAUUACCAGAACCGAUCAUGGUGACAUCCCUUCUCACAGUCAGCUCCAGGGGAAAGGUCCUCCCAGCACCCGGGAGUGAAAUCCUAGAAAGUAUCAAAACACACUUGUUUGAAAAAUAAAUAGAUGUACAUAAAGCCAGAAAAGAAAACAGUGUAUUCUUAAUGCUCCAUUAUUAACGGUACUCAGUAAGGGAUUUUCUGCUUUGCUGGAGCAUGUAACAGGCUUAAAUAAGAAUCCCUAUCAGAACAUAUCUUUGUAAUUAUGCAGAUAAUAUUUUUGCUACUGUAAUGACAACAUAAACGCUCACAAACUGCAUUGGUUACACAUCUCUGAAAUACAGAGAUGUCUCUGAGCUUGCACUUCUGUGAAGACCACAAACACAUCACCUCGACCAACACUUCAGUCUGCAGGCAUUUCAUAGCGUCAUCCUUUGUUUUGAGUGAGUUCAGCUCCUGGUUCCUGGCACGGGUCCCCAUGGGGGUUGUGCCAGGGAUGGAUGCUGAUUUCCUAGCCCUAUGCUAUUGUUAACUGUUUCCAGCCUGCAUCAAUAGCACAUCCCAGCAAGAGCUCAGGUGCAUCUGGUGCUCAGCUGGCACUUCUCAGAAAGAAAACCUUCAGGAGCUCCCAACAGACACAGUGGUGUUUUUGAGCUAAAUUCUCCUGUUUUCACCAUGUUUGUUUGUAAGAAGUCUCUCAAAAGAGAGCUAGCCAAACACUGCACUGUCACUCUUUAUCUCCCCAAAAUAAUGAUACCACUCAGAAGGGGGGGGGGGGAAGCAGAUGAAAUAUUCUGUUUGUUUUCUUUUCUCAGUGACUGCUCAUGUUUGUGAUCUCAGCAACCAUCGUGGAAUACAAACACAGCACUGACAUGCCUGCAAGUUGAGGGUGUUUUAUUGCUCUGGCAAUGGGACCGAACCCUUCCACAGCCAGUCUUGUAAACAGAUACAUCCCUUGCUGAAGAGCUGAGAUGUCCUGAUUACCAACACUUCUGCCAUGUCUCACAGCUUCCUAAACGCCAACUGGAAACCAUCUUGGUAUUACACUGUGUCAUCGCGGUAUAAGAACAAAUAAAGUCAAGUUUAUUGAGUU
RNAcentral lists this long non-coding RNA (1291 nucleotides) under Gallus gallus (chicken). Its description in RNAcentral is "lncRNA (ENSGALG00010017078.1)". Lineage: Eukaryota; Metazoa; Chordata; Aves; Galliformes; Phasianidae. The record is from RNAcentral.